RNAcentral lists this ribosomal RNA (505 nucleotides) under uncultured bacterium. RNAcentral's name for it is "bacterial SSU rRNA". It matches the Rfam family "Bacterial small subunit ribosomal RNA", at positions 35 to 573 of the family's 1533-position model. The record is from RNAcentral.
GCUGGCGGCCGCCUAAAAAUGCAAGUCGCACGGGACUUUCGGGUCCAGUGGCAGACGGCUGAGUAACGCGUGGGUGACGUACCUGUUGGUGGGGAAUAACUGCCCGAAAGGGUGGCUAAUACCGCAUACGUCUGUUGAGUCGUAUUGACAGGCAAAGCAGCAAUGUGCCGAUGGAGCGGCCCGCGUCCGAUUAGCCAGUUGGUGGGGUAACGGCCUACCAAAGCGACGAUCGGUAGCUGGUCUCAGAGGAUGAUCAGCCAGACUGGGACUGAGACACGGCCCAGACUCCUACGGGAGGCAGCAGUUAGGAAUUUUGGGCAAUGGGCGCAAGCCUGACCCAGCAACGCCGCGUGGGUGACGAAGGCCUUCGGGUUGUAAAGCCCUUUUCUCAGGGAAGAUGAUGACGGUACCUGAGGAAGAAGCACCGGCUAACUACGUGCCAGCAGCCGCGGUAAUACGUANGGUGCAAGCGUUGCCCGGAUUUAUUGGGCGUAAAGGGCGCGUA